Mus caroli (Ryukyu mouse) is the source of this 1321-nucleotide non-coding RNA. Lineage: Eukaryota; Metazoa; Chordata; Mammalia; Rodentia; Muridae. The record is from RefSeq and is a predicted model, not a curated record.
AUGGAGAAGACUGAAUUAAGUCCUGAGAACUCCGCGGAGAGGUUGGUGAGGAGUCUGGUAGAUCUGAGUUGGGAAGUUUCAUGCUACCAGUCCUUACCCAGUGGAUGGUCCGCAGGUGAGCCUGGGUGCUUCAAGGACCUCUGUACAGAGCAUUCUGCAGAGCUCUCAACAGAACACUGUCGAUUAGGUCUAGCUGACUUUAUGAUAGUGCGAUAUCAUGAGAAAAGGAGUUGGUGGCAUCAGCCACAGAGGCCGUUCCCAUAUCCAGAGACUGGGAGCUGCUCCCUAGUGCUUCUGCUUCAGCUGAGCCACAGCCCUUCAGGUCAGCGUCCGUACCCUGAGGUCUUCUAUGGCAGCCCUGGACCUCCUAAUUCCUAGGUCUCUGGGGAUGCACCCAUCGACUCUCAGUUACAUCCCAACAGUGGAGGCUUCCGUCCUGGGACACCCUCAUUGCACCAGUACAGGUCACAGCCUCUGUAUCUGCCCUCCAGGUCCAGCCCCUCCCUCGGCACUGCUUUCUGGGGUAGCUCUCAAGGGCCAGUUUCUGGAUUUCUCAGCACUGCAAGCCACAGAGCUGGGGAAGUUGCCUGCUGGGGGAGUUCUCUACCCUCCACCAUCCUUCCUCUACUCUGCAGCUUUCUGCUCCAGCCCUUUGCCUGACCCACCCUUGCUUCAAGUACGCCAGGAUCUGCCAUCCCCUUCAGAUUUUUACUCUACUCCUCUGCAGCCUGGUGGCCAGAGUGGCUUCCUUCCUUCGGGAGCCCCUGCUCAGCAGAUGCUUCUAUCUGUGGUAGACUCACAGCUGCCAGUGGUGAACUUUGGCUCCCUGCCACCAGCGCCACCCCCUGCUCCACCCCCUCCCCUUUCUCUGUUACCUGUGGGUCCUGCUCUCCAGCCCCCCAACCUAGCUGUGAGGCCCCCACCUGCUCCUGCUGCUCGGGUCUUACCUUCACCAGCUAGGCCCUUCACCCCUAGCUUGGGGCGAGCAGAGCUGCACCCAGUAGAACUAAAGCCUUUCCAGGAUUACCGAAAGCUGAGUAGCAACCUUGGGGGUCCUGGGUCGUCACGGACUCCCCCAUCUGGAAGGCCCUUCUCUGGUCUCGAUUCCCGUCUCAAGACCCCACCUUCCACCUACAGUGGAGUAUUCCGAACUCAGCGCAUUGACCUCUACCAGCAGGCUUCCCCAACAGAUGCCCUGCUCUGGAUGCCGAAACCUUGGAAACGGGCAGGGCCACCUUCUCGAGAAGGGCCUCCCCGAAGAGCAGAGGAGCCUGGGUCCCAGGAACUAAAAAAACGUUCUCAUGUGGUUUGGACUGGGUGA